GCCCGGCGCCCGCGGGGGCCGGGGAAGAGGGGCGAGGGGGCGUGUGCCCCAGACGAUCCCGGGCGCGCCCGUGUCAAGGCGCGUCCGGCGGGGUCCAAGGGAGGUGAUGCCGGUGAGCAGGGCUCGGACGUGGGUGUAAAUCCCCGCGCUUGGAGUCCGUGGUCACAGCGUCUGGGCGAGCCUCCUGCGCCCGGGCCGGCCUGCGCUGAUUCGGUCGGAGGUCUCUCAGACCUCACCGGCGCGGCGCUCUCUUUGGCUGGCAGAGAACUACGCGUGGUUCUUAAUCCUGUUUAUACAUACAAGCAACUGAAUAGCUUCAGAAAGAACUCCGUUGCCCGGCCCCGUUCCAGACCAGUGGAACCCCAAUCUACCCCGGGCCUGGACAUGGUGCAUUAGAAAAAAGACCCUCCCUAAGUAUUUCUGAUGCACAGGGAGGGGGUCAGAACUUAUCGAAGUAACCAGCUUGAUGGAAUAGAUAGUUGUGAAACCACCCAUCUUUAGAGACGAAAUAGUAAAAAUAGCUAACACGUAUUGAUUGUCAUUUUACAAUUGGGGAAAUUGAGGCUUAGGAGGUAAGUAAGAAUUGGUCAGUGACGAUCUCUGACUAGUACUCGGGGAGGCUGACUCCAGAACCCAUACUUUCAGCCAUGCUGUCUUGGAAAUAGGUCUUUACGUAAGGGCCACAUGUUUGCGUGAAUAGCAAUAGUUAUAUGUUUGCCUGCAGGCUAGCGAGUCUGUAUACAGUAUUUACCUAUGUAUUUAUGUAUUUUCAUCUGGAAAGUUGUGCUUGUACUAAAGCGGGGAGAAUCACUUGGUGAAUUUGUUAAGGUAUGUAGGCUACUAACGUUUUCAGGAAGUUUAUAGUGAAGAGAAGAGAGGGGACCCCAGUAAUUUGAAAAGAACACAUUCCAUGGGAGUUUUUUGUUUUGUUUUUAGACGUAAACAUGUGCAAAGUGAAGGGAAGAGUCGAGAAGAUUCAGGUAUUUUCCAAGGAUUUGCAUACGCAGCCGCAGAAGUCCUUUCGGUUGCUGGCACGAUACAAUCUUGUGGUCAUAGGCUGGGUGUAGCCCAAAGUGGGGGGCAGUCUACAGAGGAGCAGAAGCUCUGCCGUGAACAUUUGGGAGCAAAAUAACUAUUACUCUGGUGUAGAGUACAGAAGUUCUGCUUCUACAUUCCUCUUCUCCCUUUGCUUUAUUUCAUUUGUCUCCUGGUCAGAUGAACUCUUACAGGGACUAUUUAGAUGUGAGGGUAACCCAUCUGUUCUGAACAUGUGUUUAUUGAUAUAUUCUCUAAAGAUAUUCCAAAUAAAACUCCCAGGAAACAGGUCUUUCCCUGAAAACAAAGGGCUCCUAUUACCGUGUUUUUGCAACCAAUACGUAUUAUUAGAUGAUACUGUGUCACAAAGAAAUGUCUUUGUAUUCCUACUAAUGGUUGCUGUCUAAUAGUGUUAGUUGUGUGGCAGACAUAGGCAUGUUACUUGGGAAAUUUAAGGAUUGGUUUUACGGUGCUUGCAGUUUGGGUGAGCAAAGUUUGUAGACCCACCAGGGCAAGCCUGACGUAAGCAUGAGUGUUGGCAGUCUGGCAUGGAAACAGCUCUCCAACCCCGUCUCCUUCCCUCCCUUGUCAUCCGCGUCCCUCUUGACCACCAAAGCCACAUUUCUCCGGCAUUGCCAAACCACCCGUAUUUCCUUUGCACAGCUCUGCCUAGGUUGCUCGUGGGCACCUCCUUCAGGAAAUUUUCCCUGAUUUCUCCUCAGAAAACAUUGAAAAAUCCCUUCCCUGUGUCACCUCUGUGUCCUGUGCAUGUUUGUCUCACUGCAUUUAUCACGACCUGUCAUAUUGUUUUUGUUGACACGUUGGAUACCCCUACUAACUGAGCUCAUCAAAAUUGGAAAUGGGGAUUAUUUAUCUGUGUGUGUCUGACACACAGUAGGUUCUUAAGUUCAUUGCGUCGGUCUGAACUGAAUUUGAGUUGCAUUAUUUGUGUUGAUAUUUGCCUGUGUCACCCGUCUUCGUUAACCGUCUUCACCUCCUCUGCUACUAGCUACUAGGCUGAAAACCCACAUCCUUGCACAGAGAACGCAGAAUACCACCAACACAUUCUUGUAAAAGGAGUAGGAGGGAGAGGGCAAAAUGGAAUCAGUUUUUCACUUGUGUCCCAAUUUUGUUCUUGACUGACCACUUGGGUGGCAUGAAUUUUCUUGGUUACUCAUGCACACUGGAAGAGAUACUUAAUAUUGUCACGUUCAACUUAUUUAGGAAGGAAGAAAUGGCGCUGCGUUACCGAUGGACAGACGUCUGUGUGCAGUGGCAGAAUACAGACUCUUCGUCACAUUUCAUUACCCCAUAAUAUUCAGGAGCAGAGUGGAGUGAUGACGAGUAAUUAUGAUUAUGAAUAAUUAUUUACAAAUCAAAUGGAGUUGAGCCCUUGGCGUGUAAACUGAAUGGAAGUCCCGCCCUGUCUAUUGUGAUGGCUCUUCAGUCUUCAGUGAUUAUUGCCUGAAAGUGCAGCACCACCAAGCCUCCCUGGAAUGGUACUUCUACUCAGUUCUUGGACUGAGGGAUGAAAUGGGAUUUUACCUCACUUGUUUUCAGGAAAUCUUUUCACUGCACCUUAUUCACGCUGUUCAGGGUUAGAAGAGAUGGCGUACUUUACCAUCUGGAGUUUCUCUGCCUCGUUGAUGAUGGAAGCGCAAACCUGCCGGUUUAUAGGAGAUGAUAGAUAACACCUUGUAACGUCUGAGUUGCAAAAAUAUCUGCCUCUAAGAACUCAGGAGGACCUACUUUGUGGGAGCAAAGAUAGUGAGUCAAAGCCGCAGGCUUGGAGAGGAGCGUUCGUUUGAGCCUCUUCACUCAGUUGGGAGAUUUCCUAGGCAACCAUUUAUGUGGUCGUUAAAGGAUGGGGAACUCAGAGGAGAAAAAUGGAAGAAACAGAAGAACUUUUAAUGAAACAGAAUAAAGCACUGAACAGCUUUGUCUGUUGCUUUGGGACACACAGGGGUCUUGUGUUUUAAUGUAGUCAGAUGGAUAUGGAGCACCUUGCCUUUUGUUACUUUUUUCAUUGCUUUUAUAAAGACAGGCAUUUUAAGUACGAGCAAGUUAAUGGCGCAGAAUACUGCUGACUGCGUGGUUCUCGUCUAAAUGCGUUUUCCAACCUUGAACCUGAGAAUGCCAGAGGCUCGAGUCUCUGGACGCUCAUCUGAGCAGUUAUCUGCUGGUGGCCUGGUUCCUGAGGUAACAAGUGGGUGUCCCGGGUGCGUGUGUGUGUGUGGUAACAACAGCAGUGGUGCCACGUGGCGCCCAGAGGUCGCCUCAGUCUGUCCUGGGAAUUCCUGGUCCCCGGUGCUUGCGAGAUGAGCUGUGAACUUGGGGCGUCCGGAGAAGUGCAGGCAUUUUGGAGUUCCACAGCAAACCUGGAUGUAAGCAUAAACACAGCUUUUAAAGUGAAAGCAGGGGCCCUGAGGAAGGAAUUACCCUCAUCUCAUUCCCGACCUGCUUACUGUGCCGGAAAACAAAGAAUUGGGAAAACAACGUAGUGUGGUUUUCAUUGUUAGUCCUGGAGGAUUCCAAAAUCUGUGUCUGCAAAUAAGAUGAGCUGGAGCGACGUGCUGUGCCACUUGCUGUUUCUACUUGCCUGUUCUCCUAAUCGAAGUGAACCCCUUGCUUCCAGGACAAGCCCAGCCCGUGCUCGGGGACCCUCGUGUGACUGUUCCGUGCCCAUCUCUCAGAAGACUCCAAGCUCAGCUCCUCUGCCUGGGAUGGCAUCUCUGCACAUGCCCUUCUCUCUCCCUCGUCUGUCUACCUGCCAACACCUGCUCCUCCCUAAGAUUCAUCUCAGAAUUCAGCCUAGAGUCCUCCAGAAAGCCGUGUCUGACAUUUCAGAGCCGCCACUCCCUCCUCACUCCUCACAGGUGCCGCCGCCUCUGGGGGACGUGCGCCUCUGCCACAGGGACCGUGUCUUUCUGCUCUUCACUGCCAGCACCUGACACAGUAUGUGACAUGGAGUACCUGUCCCUUAAGUGUCGUUGAUUGAAAGAACUGAACGUAUUACAGGGACUCAGUACACAUCCAUUGAUUUGUUGAGACGUAGAUGCUGUGAGUGCAGAGGAGGGUGACGUGCCGGAGCAGUCCAGGGAGGCUCCGCGGAGCAGGUGGGAAAUACUAAGCUGAACAUUCAAGGUUUCGCACGUUGAAAACGGGCAAAGAACAAAAAUACCCGAGGUGGAGGAGCUCAGUGUGUGCGACUGCUGGCAACUCCACCGCUCUGUCCACACGGCCCGGAGGCAGGGAGCCCUGGAGCCGGGGUGGAGGCGGCCUGCUAGUUGGAGCAGAGGGUUUAUUGAAAGGAGGUAGAGAGAAGGCCCUGAGGGUGGGUUGGAUUUAAGUGGUGGGAAGGCCUCAAAGGCACGUGGGUUCUUGCAGGCGGUGAGUGUCAUUAUUUUUGAAAGCUAGUGACUUGCUCAAAGUGGUGUUGAAAGUGGGAGCUGCCUUGUGGCCCUGCCUUCAUCUUCCAUCCCGGCUUUGAGGCUCCUCUGGUGACCCCAGAUGUGAAGCCCCCUCCUAUCAAAUGCCUCACCUUUAAGGGCUGGAUCUUUUGUAAAUAAAGGCUUUCCUUCUGGCGCUGCCCUUGACCUGGCUCUGAGCUGUUGGUCCUUUGGGCCCAUUCAGCUCUGUCCCAUCCCUCUCCCCUCGUGACUGGUAAUGACCCGGAAGGUGGCAGCACCCACGCAGCAGGUGGCCUCAGAGCUGAGUCACCGCCCUGGGAACUGUGCCCUGGUGAGGCCGGCUCAGGCAAACUGGGGAACUCUCCACCUCACCCCGGCUCUGUGAGGCCUCUCAGUGCAACAGCCAGAGCAAAGGAAAAUGGAUUCUUUUAUGCAUCGAGCUGAUGAGAAAGUGAAAUAAAGCUAAUUGAAGAACCUAAAGGAAGUUAUCCUAAUGGCAGUCUCUAGCUGGUGUCUUUGGCAAGCACAGAGUUUUUCCUCACAAUUAUAGUUAUGGCCAUGAUUGUUUUAUCUAAACACAUGAAAAUCAUCCCUUUACACUUAUCUUUAAAAAAUGGGACGAAGAAGAUUUUAAAAUGAUGGUUUACGAUUCUGUAUGACCUUAUGAAUUCAGAGAGCCUAAGAAAUAAAAUGAUGUGGAGAGAUAUCUAAGCUGUCAAUGUUCUAGGAAAUGUGCAAAUGAGGUUUAGGGUUUUUUUUUUAAGUGUUUUAUUAUUCAUAAAUACUCUGAGGGAGGUUGUUUUUAAAAAUUAUGAUGCUUUUAUUUCAUUCCCAGAGAAGAUAAAAAUGUAGUGUUGCUUCUGAAAGAGGGUUUUAGAAAAAAAGGUCUGGCUUGUUUACUACACCAAUGAAUAGAGAUGACCUCAGUCCGAAAAAACAAGUUAACCAUAAUAUCGCUCCUUUGCCUGGCAAAAUAAGCCUUUAUCACAUAGCAAAAGAAGUGCAAGUCUGACCACCUAGUCAUCAUUUCAGCUGAUCAGGAUUUUCCAAAAGACAAAACAAAAAGCUCUCUCCAUUUUCACAACUGAACAAUAGCUCUUAGGAAAUACUACCAGCUUGCUCAGUUCCUAUAAGGCUGUAAAAAAAGUCUGGUGACAAUUACUCACUCAGUCGCCUGAAUGCAAUGCUGUACGUGGUUAACUCUGCUGUCGCCACUGUGAGCUUUCGAAGUUGGAAAAAAGGGGUCAUGUCUGUUGCUUUUUGAGUAUGGAGUUUUUUGACUUAAAAAGAAAUUUAAUCUUUUUUGCUUUAUACAUCCUGUGCCCAGUAAGCUCUGUACAGCUGAAGGGUCCCUACAGAUGGAAGCCUGUUCUCUUGAGCAGAUUUUCCUGAGCUCUGGGUACGUGCACGUGCUCUCUGACCACCGUGGGGCCCAGAUGAGACGCGUUGAGCCAGUCCAUGGAACUCCACUGCUUAGCUGGCAGAUAUGCUGUGACCCGGAAGUUGAGUUUUCUCCUUUAUUUUCCUGUUUACUUUGCAUAUGCGUAAAAAAAUGAGCCACACAAAAAUAUAGACGGUCAAAAGGCUUCCUAAUUUUUCUAAGGCAGAGGAGUUGAGGCAGAUUCUGCUAGAAAGCAGCACCCAUAUCCUAAUUCCUACAGCCUCUGUGAUUUCAGAUCAGCAAAGGCGGAAUCGAAACACACUGGGAAGUUAGAGGUCAGUUGAUUCUAGGAUCCAUUCCAGUCAAAAGAAUCUGUAGACUCACUGGAUUUGGGAAUGGGGUUUGGGGAAAGAGGGUUUUUUUAAAAAGAGGGAAGCUUUGUUCCUUAUUUCUUGACCUGUGUUGGGUGGGAGAACGAACCUGCUUUGAAUAGAAGUUGCAAAAAAGCCAAUCCUGGUGACCAUACAAGAAGAUUAAUGAGGACUCGGCACCAAAUUAAAUAUGCCCAGCCUUUAAGAAAACUGCGUUAAUAGUGCCACUGUGACGGCGUUAACGAUGGGAGCCAUGGGAAGAUGCUUGGGGAGGCUCAGGCGCUGAUGAGUUAAAAAGGCAGAGACAUCCAGUAAGUGAGAUCCCGCCCGGGCACGGGUUUGUUUAUCCUGCCCUUCUGAAGUCAGAGCCAACAUUCUUAAUGGUUUUGAAUGAUUCAGAAUGUUUCUCUUUUGGCAGGGCCACUUUCCACACAUGGGCUUAUGACUAAAACCCCUUAGGUGAGGUCCAAAGCAGAAACUGACCUUACACUUAAUGUCGAAUUUUAGAAUCGUCUUAUUUUAGAGCAACAGGAAAACUGUCAAUACAGCGUGCUUGUUUCAGAGAUGAAGAGCUGGACCAGGGGGUUUGGUCCGCCAGAGGUCACCCAACGGGAGGGCGAGGCCAGUCUGGGCCGGGCCGCCUUCCUCCAACCACACGGGCCCUGGUCCCAGCCUCGGGAGGAGGCUCCCGCCUGUCCUUGGCCUCCCAGCUGGGAGAGGCCAAUGCCCUUUGAGGAAUGUUCAGAAAAUUGCUUAGGUCGGAAAGGAGAACUUCAUUUUUACAAAAUGAAACAAAUCGGUUGUUUAUUUGUCACGGGCAGCUUUUUCAAAAUCUUCUUUGUCAGUAUUUUGAAUUUAUUAGCUCCCAGGCAGAAGGAAGCAUAAUAACAUUUCUAUCCAUACGCCAAAGUAAGAGACUUGAUAUACCCUUCGCUCGCUCACUCUUCUUUUUCUUUUUUUUGGAUGAAAAUUAACUGUGCCACGCUAGUUCUUAAUAAAACAAACUUUGAAUUCUUCCCACAGGAGACAGAAUUGAGCAAUGUUCUAAGAACAUGUUGUACUCUUUUGGGCACUGAGUAAAUGUAAUACUGAGAAGAUGCUCUAGAAGCUUGAAAGUGCCUCUUGGUAAUAGAGUCACCGGGAGAAGUGGCAGAAAGAACAGGGUAGAGAAGCUGGUCCUCGUGGAGGAGGGCUCAGCAGGAGCUGCUGGCUCAGCCUCUUCCUGCCUGGCUGAGGACCUGAGGGCAUCACGGAGCCCACAGGAAAGGACUCAUUUCCCCGUAAGCCAGGGCGUGAACCACUGACCCCUGCUGGGCGCACCCGACGCGGUCAGAACCCGGUCCUCCUCUGGACUCGGCGCUGAACUGCACGUCCACCAGCGCCAGAGACAGCAUCUCCAGGAAAGGACACGCACCACAGGUCGCUGCACCCACUGCGCUGGCCCUCUCCCAGCGGCUCCCAAACCCCGGGGACGACCGUGUGGCCUUCAUUUGUUUAAGGACGACAACCUGAAUUAAGAGAUGAAGCGAUUUAUCCCAGGAGGAAAAGCCAUUCGAAGAAAGGGGAUUUGCACCAGAUUCCUGCCGAGACCCGCCCCCCAAGCCCUCCCCCCCCCCCGUAGCAAAUUGUGCCCUCUUCCUUCCGGGUGGCACUUAAGCAACUGUCACUUAUCGCGUCCUUAUAUUAAUUACACAAUUAUUACAAACGUGUUCCCCCGAAAGAAUGUAAACUAAAUAUGUCAUGAGUAUCAAGUUAAGCAUCUCCAACAGGAUCUUUUCAUAGGAAGAACGGUUCCUUAGUCCUAGUAACAACAAGUGCUAUUUUUUUCCCUCUUCCCAGCCCGUGGAAACAAUGCCGAGGAAAAAUUAUCUUGUGUUUAGCUUCCAGCGUGAUAUUGGAGAUAAGUAACAGUGUCUUUUUUUCCCCCCAUCACCCAUGCUGUCUUCAUUUUUAAGGUAGACAGUUUAUUUUAAGAAGAGCAGGAAGGAGAAGCUUUUGGCUGUCUCCAGGUGCCACGUGGCCCUGAUGGCCUUUCCUGGGGUCAUCUUCCAGGCAAGUGGAGCCGUCCUCACCUGCUACACGGAAGCCAGCGCAGCGUUGGCUCUGCCUGAGCGAACCAGGGAAGUGUUGGGGGGAGGAGAGCGGGGGUGUGGAUUUGAAUCUCCCUUGGAUUAUUUUAAAUUCUUGUGUCGUUAUAUUUGUGUGUACUUGAAAAAUUAUAAUCUAGCAAAUGUUUCAGAUUUAAGCCGUGGGUAAAAUUUUCCUAACAGAAAAUGACACAGUCAGCUGGAAAAAUGGAAUAGAAAGCAGCACAUGCUGUUUCCUUCUUAGGGUUUUUCUAUUCGUGUUGGAGCAGAAAGCCCCUCGCCCGCCCUCACUGCCCCUUUCUUGGAGUGGGUGCCAUCUUGAUAGCCUUCCUGUGUGAGGUGAGGGGACUGGGGGAGCGGGUUUGAGAACCCCCGCCUCCCCUGCUGUCCGCUGUCAGUCAUGCUAACUUCCCUGAGCGCUGGCAGUCAUAUGAGAAUGUCUUAGCUGCGUGUGUGAAAGUCACGCCUGUGUUUCACCUCCAGUGUGAGUGCAAUUCAGUGUCCCGGGACAUGGUCAUCCCCUUUGGUCCUCUAAAGGAGUUGGGGUCUGCGAAUAGGACUCGUGCUGAGCUGGAGGGCAUUUUAUGGGCAUCAUUUCAUCUGUUCUCUCCGUCUCCAGCCAGAACUGCAUUCCAGACACAUGGGUACAUGUAUACCCUAUUCGAAUAUUCAGGCGUCCUGAGAAGGGGCUCCCAGCCUGUCUGGGAAACCCAGAAGGAGCUGACCACCCCCAUUUCUUCCUGCCCAUACCUCUGGAGAUGGAGACUAGGAGGCCCUUGGGAAAGCUUAUCCUGAGCCCAAAGCUUGGUGCCUCACCUAUGGGACCAUGGCCCCUGAAGUUUCCCCAUCCUAAUACCUAUCCCAUUGUCGUAAUAACUGCCAUUUAUUUGUCUGCACCCCCUGCCGGCUUGCAGACUCCAUGAGGACUGGUGCCCGUGUGGGUCCACGUUGCGUCUCCAGCACAGUGCUUCCCACAUGCUAGAUAUUCAACAUCUGUUUCUUCUGCGCUUCAUAAAUUUUGUUUUUUGUCGUCUCCUGCCAUCCCUGAUCUCAGUUAACCUUCCCAUUGUGUGUGUGUGUGUGUGUGCACGUGUGCAGGAAGAAAUGCCUUCAUGAGCUCACUCGCUCGCUCUUACCUUCUGCAUCCUGUGUUAUCGCACAGCCAUCGCAGUCUCACUUCCCAAAGGUCUUGUUUGCCGAAUGCGGUGGCUUUCCCCAUUCCCAUUGAGCUUCACCUCCUGCUACAGUUCACAUGAUGUUACCUCCCCUCCCUGACACCCUCCCCUUUUUCCACCUGCCCAGACCACCCCUGUGGAGCCCGGCUCAGGCCCCUUUCCUCUGCAGACACCCCCCCCCCCCGCCCCCUAGUCAGCCUGCCCCAAGCUCAUCGAAUCCUGAAUGACUGUUGUCCCUCUCUGUCAGCAUGGCACACUUAAGCCUUACUCGUCCCUAUAUACUCAACUUCAUUCCACAUUAGGUUCCAAGGUCACGUGCAAGUGUAUCCAUGUCAUCUGUUUAGGCACUUUUCCAGUUCAGCGCGGGGCUCUUAGGAGGCAAUCAGUGAACGCCUAGCGAUGGAUUCUAACAGAUCUGUCUUUACCCGUCGUGUUGAGAAGUGACUUGUGGUUCUGCAGCAUUGUUGUUGGUUAAUCCCUCCCUGACAGACGUGACCGUCCCUAUGUGCACCCCCCCAUGUGCCUACACUGGACUCUUCUAGGAGCCUCAUCUGCCUCAUGUCCUCUGAGCCUCAUACGGCACCUGGGACAUGGUAAACUCAGUGAAUCAGUGGUUCUGAGACCAGAUAGAUGGAAAUGCUGGAACAUCCUCAUCCCUGUUGCGGAUCGUAUCUGUCCUUUCACAGACUCGCGACUCCUUGUUUUGACGUCCCAUGACCUACCCUUUUUCCGUCAGAGAGCCUCAGACCCAGUCUCUGUGUACUGAUGCUCGAUGGUAUUUUAGUCUUUCACACCAAUUUUAACAUAUUGAUUGUAUAUACCUUCUGGAAAAUUUAUCCAAAAUGUUAAAUGUGCUGUCCCCUCACAGGGGAAUGUGGUGAUGGUUCUUUUUCAGGGGGGAGGUUAAUAUUUAUUGAAAAAUCUCUGGACCAUGGAUUUUACUUGAGUUAGUUAUAUUUUCACAAGUCUGAGAAUUAACAUUAUCAUUUCCACUUUACAGUUGAAAAAAAUAAAGCUCAAAAAGGGUUAAAUAGCUUGUCCCAGGCUAACAAGUGACAGAGGGAAAAUUUGAAACCAGGUCUUUCUGAUCCCAAAGCUUAUGCUGCUUGUCUCUCUGUUCCCCGCUUAAAUGUGCCAUUAAAUGGGAGUUCCCUUAAUGGCGCUCAACGUUGAAUAGGCAGUGUCUAAGCACGUUAACUCAGAUAAGCUGGUGCUCAUGUGGAAAGGCACAGACAAGGACAAGAUGUGUAUUGGUACUUUUGGUUCUAAGCAGAGAUUCAGAGAUCAGCUUCUAAGAGCCUCAAGCUUCAAGAGGAUGACGGUUGAGCACCUAGGAAGAUCCUUUGGGGGGCCCUCUGUGACACAGGGCUGCCCUGUUGAAGGUGUAAGUUGACCCUUGACUCCUCCUGAGAAAACACAGGAAUCCCGUUAGGGAAGCAUCCUCGUGGGCUGGGCUGCUCCACGCUCUCCCCUCUGGUGAUGGGUUUGGUACAAGCCUCAGCCCUGUGUUUAGAUUAGAGCCACCAAGAGCUACCGUGGGAGGCACAGAUGCCAGUGCUCAUAAGGGGAGGCACGGAUGUUAGUGGGAAGCUGAAAAUGCAGCUGUCAAACUCAUAUCCUCAUAGUUAAGAAACCUUAUCACUAACUCAUAUACGGUGUUCUUGACCGAACCUUUCUGUGCUCUGGUUUCCCCAUCUACCAAGAAUGCACAUGCACCUAGAUCUUAGGAGGCUGCAGGUGCAGUGGUCACAAGGUGCUCCUGAGUUCUUUAGAGGAGUGACAGAGAGGAUGGAAGAGGCACGCUACAGAAUUAGGCUUUAUCAUACGCUUUUACAGGAAAAAGUUAAUUGUAGGAAGACUUUGCAGCAGCUUAAAUGAACUCUUGCAAAUACUGCAGAACUCCCGGAACACAGCCGACGGGCGUUCCUUGCAGCUGACACCCAUCUCAGUCACCGUUGACAAGGGGAAGAGCUCCUCACUGACUCUGGGUCCUGUCGUCAUUUUUAUGAUCAGACAAUUUCGGAAACAUGCUAUUAUUUUAAAUUAGUAUUUAAAUAUUCCAAAGCCGUGUGAUUUAAUAGCUCCAUGUCAGUUUCAAUUUUAUGUUUACCCUGAUAGAUCCUCCUUCCUUUUCCUCUCAGCUUGAAUAUUUUAGAUUUAUCUUUCUGUCAUAAGACAGUGUUGAAUAUAACAAUGGCUUUUCUCAGCCAUUUCUCUUCCUGGUCAAGAUCUUCUUGAAUUUUAAUCCCAACUUUCAAGAAUCUUCCGAACAUAUUACGUCCGUGUUUUGAUAGCGUCUUGAAGUGUGUGAGCAUAGUCGCUAAAGAACAUGUCCUCCAACGCUCAGCUUAAAGAUCACACCUGUGAACCACAGUGCGUUGUCUUCCCCAGUCUGUCUGAUGCACGUGUCUAGACCAUAUCACCCCAUCCACUGGCCUCGGCCGUGUUUCUGUUCCUCCAUGGGGUUGUAAUUGUUCACUUGGAAAUUGCAAUAGAUAGUAAUCUGACAGGACAGACUUUUCUUCCUCACACUGCUGAGUCACGCCGCCCCUUGCUGGGUGAAAUGUGAGCUUUUGGGACUUGAGCCCCUUCUAAGGAAGCCUCCUUGGGGCUGUUAUGAAGGCACUCCCAGUGGCUGUGGCAGGUCACGUGCACGGAAGACUGAAGUACUCCUUGAACGAUGAGUUUUCAAAAACGAAGACCUCUACAACACGGGCCUCCUUUCCUAUAAUGUGGCAAAAGGUGCACUCCAGCUUUAAACUUAGACCACGCAGGAGAGAACAUCAUGGGGUUUCUGUUCUGUAUUUCCUCCGCUUGACCGCAGAGCAGUGAGAGAAGGUUGCACUUUCAGACAGUUGCUGCCCUCUGCUGGCCUCUGCAGUCUGUGCUGCUGCAGCCUGAGGUUGCGAAACCAAUUUUGAAAAUAGAAACCUCUCCCUGUCUUCUGUGCGGGCUGCUUUCAUGUCUUUCUUCCGUGACUGGAGCUAUAGGUCUAUACCAUGUUUUAUUUCAUAAGACCUCUUGCUGAGCAAACCUUGAUGAUCUGCGAAACGCACAGCCUCGUGUCGGUGGACGCACCAGUGAGGAGCGUGUCCACCGCUCACUGUGCAGGAACUUUCCCAACCUAUGCAGCAGGAAGGAGAAGGUGCUCCUUAUUUCUUGUUUUUAAAAAUUCAUCUCUUUAUGACAUUGGCGGAGGAACAAGAGAAAACAACUGACUUUUACUUCCUCUGUUGCUCUGGGAGAUUUCCUAAGGGCUCAUACUGUCGUUUAAAUUCCAGGUGCUGAUCUUCUGAGCAGUUGCCUCCUGAGGAUUUCUGUGCCUGGAAAAUAUCUGUCAACAGAUUGCUCUCACACUCCUGUGUAAGUAGAGGCUUGUGCUCGUAAAAUCAACCUCAAGCGAGUUUCGUUUUAUUUUGUUCCUGGAUGAUUCCCCAUAAAUUUUUUUAAAUGGUCAUCAGGGUUCGAUCUCUAUUCCUUUUCUCUUAAACCCUCAACUCCUAACUUAGCAUUGGGAAAAGUCUAUAACGUGAACUCCUGCUUAAAAGGAAGGGUACAGAUCCCGUAUUCAGGUCUUAGAAUGGGAAGAGGAGAAGAAGGUAAAAAAUAUUAAAGAUACUCAUUUCAGUUAAUUCAGUUGGAGAUGCCAUUUGUAGAUCUGAGGGCGUCUUCCGAUUUUAGUAUUUGUCGGAUUCCUCUGCAGUCAGCUGGGCUGACAUGUAUCCAUGUACGAUGAAAUGGACGGAAGCAGGAUCUGUGAGCUUUUUCCAUUUACAAGCUGUGGCAGAUCUCUUAGCCACCUCUCUGCUUAUAAUGUGCUAAGGGAAAAAUGAUUUAUUAUUUCUGUCAUCGUGGCUAUCAUUUAUUGAGUAUUUACAUUGUGCCAUUGCUAGUUCGAAUUGCUGUACCUGAUUUAUUUAAUUGUCACAGCAACCUUAGGUGUGGUGGGUACUAUCAUCAUCCUUAUUUUAAACAGCUGAGGAGACUGAGACACUGAGAGUUAACGUAAGUUACCCAGGGUUGUGCAGGGAGCGAAUUGCAGAGCUUGACAUUCUGCCUCCAGAAGUCUACAUGUGACCAUGUCGCCAUACUGCCUCUUAGAAACGGGGAACUUAGGAGGAUAAACUGCUGGGCUGUAUUUUAGAGACAUUAUUUUAGCACUGUCAUAAUCAUGUGAAUGAGUGUUGGGCUAGUCACUAUGCUCUUUUGACGUGAGCCUCCUUUAGAUUAGCGGGAAGCCAGGCUUUAGAGAUGUGGCUUGCUUAAGGGCACACUGCAAAUCACGUGUGUGGCUGAGCAUCCAGGUCUCCAACCGUUCAGUGCUAGCCAAAUCCUACUAAUUUCCAAGUUGUCGCCGUCCUCUUGGUGGGUUGUUGGGUGCUGCUUCUGCUGAUCAGAACCAAAGCUGGUUUUAAUGGUUUGCUCAUGUGCUUAUUGGUGAAACCCUGAAAUCGGAGCCAGUUUACAUUCAAAGUUCCAUCCGGCCACGUGGAGAAUAGCCAUUACAGUCUCUAUAAUGCGCUGAGCCAGCAGAGACUCACGGCUAAAAGCCUGGGCCUGGAUUCGGGCAAAUCCCGCUUUGCACCCUGGUCUUGCCCUCCACAAGCUUUGUGACCAAGGGCAAGUCAUGUCCCCGUUCUAAAUCUCUGUUCCCUCACCUGGGAAAUGGAGAUGACACCACCAACCUUGUCAGGUGAUUUUGAACGUUGAGAAAAUGCAUAUUAAAGCAUGCAGCAGUAUCUGGCGCAGAGUGUUCCAAAAAUGGAAGCUGUCCCUAUUUUUCAGAGUACCUUCCCGUCCACUUCUCAGUUCAUUUUGUACUUCACCCUGAAAAGGCGCUCCGGGGUGCUGAUCCAUCUAAUAAAAUAAAUGUUUGUGUAGUGCUUUAAAAAUUAUAGAAUGUUUCCAUAUACUGAAUUACGUAUAACCCUAACAACCACUGCAGUCUAGGAAUUUAUGUCUCCAUUCUCUAGAUCAGGAUAAUCAACCUCAGAAAAAUUAAAUGAUUGCCCAGGAUCACAUAGCUAGUAAAUAGCAUAGCCAGGACUUCAACUCAGAAGCGCGGCUCCGGGUCUUGCGCUCCUUGUUCAUCUGCUUCCUGCAGGAAAGCUUUCACUAAAGGCAUGUAAGUCGAGAGAGGACUUACAGCUAGGUGAUCCAGCUCCACAGCAGUAACAGUUGCAUCUCUAUUCUGGUCUACUUUCUCCAGUCAGGACUGUUGGAGCCUGAUGUCCGUAACAUUUUGAAACUACGUUCUUAAAGAAGUCUUGUAGUCAGAUACAGUCUCCUUGUGAAAUCCUGAAGCCCCAAGGGAAGUUAUCUUAAUCCAGUUUGCUCAUGCAAGAACAGACUGGCAUUUCACUUCAAUGAAAACAAUGUAUUUCCACUGUUCCGCUUUUGCCACACGAGAGUUACUGGUGUAGUUUAUGGAUUCACAUUUCAGGCUCCAACUUUCCUAUCAGAUUUGGAAGAAAAAAAUCCAAAGAAGGGCAACCUGCUCAAAAAGCAUCAUAUAAAGUACGACAGUGAAGACUGGAUUUUGAAAUGGAAACAUUCUCAUGGCUUGUGGGCUGAGAGACAAUUAGGAAGGAUGUUCCUGAAAGGUGAUGAUUUUAAUGCUGGGGAUGGAGAGUUUUGCAAUUUUAAGUGUGUUCUCUGUGUGAGAAAGAGUUGUUAAAAAAUAACAUUCCUUUCAAAUGAUGCAAUACCUAAAAAUUGUUGAUGAUUAAAAUAGAAAUACCCUGAGUUACAGAAAUUCAGCCCUACAGUAUCCUGGCCUAAAAAAUGCAGAACAGUCAGGUUGAUUGUUGGAGCUGGAGGAUAAGGAGGCAUGGAAACAUGGUAAUGUUCACUGAGUAAAAUCUUUCCUCGCGGUUGAAUGUCACGGAAAGACUCAGCAGAGCCAGCAGAUAGCAGCUGCUGCCAUCCUGUUUCCUUGUGCAUGUCCUGGAAGGAGAAUGAAUGAGCCCCUAUUAAUUUACCAACUGGUUUUUUUUUUCGUUUCCCUGCUAGCGAACAAUGAGAUUUUUUUCCCCUAUGUUAAUUUGGUAGCCAGUCUCUGCAUGCAGAUCUAUUUUCAGGAAACUGGCCUCUUGCUUUAGAAGAUUACGUGAAAACAGAAGCCCAAGCUCAACUAAGUAACUCGCUUUCCCCCCAAGGGGCUUAAAAUCCGAAGGGAAGUUUUGACUGAUCUCUGUGUUUAUUAUGCUUUAUCUGCUGAAAAUGGCCUGUCAAACUGGGCUCACCUGAAGAGACAUAGAUGCAAAAGGAUAUAUCCAUCUUUGUUCUUCUGCUGAAUUCUGUAGAAAGCGUACUCAAACGAUAAUACAGAAAACUUACCAUAUCUAUUUGUUUCUGCUAAGGGAGCAAAACAGUGUGGUUGUGUCUAUAGUAUGGAUACAUGUGUGUGUGGAUGUACCUAUAGGGGUGUGACAUAUAUUUGAUGUAUGAGAUAUGUAUGCUCUUAUCAGACAUAAGUAAAAGGAAGAAAUCUGUUUUUUAGGAAAAUUUUCCCCAUAACCGAAGUGUCAAAAUCAUUUGGAAAAAACUUCUAAGUGGCAGUAGGCAAAAGGUAUGACUAGUCAUUAGUAAAAAAUAAACGGACCUUUUUGUUCUGGAUUUGGGAUUUUUUAACUGAUGAGAAUAAUCUGGCUGCAUCUGACAAGUUCAGUUACUGAUAUUACGAAUUAGAAUAGCAUAUACAGAAGGAUGCCGUGGACCCUAAAUCAAUCACAAAGUUAGUGAAAUCGCUAUUUGAGAGUUCCAGUGAUUCUUCUAUCUUGGCAGUCUUUCAAGUUAAAAUGCUUGAAUUGACUAUCCAGUUGAAAUAUUUAAUUGCCAGUUGCUUCACAAAGUAUGUGCCUUUCUUUGCAGUCUAUGAGCUGUUGCAUCUUGGAUGAAGUGCUUGUGACACAUCUCUCUAGACCAUAGUGUUCUGUUCCCUUUUUUCAGAGAUGAAAAAACUAGUCUGGUAGUAGUAGGCGUGUGCAGUGGAUGCUUCUCCAUUAUGAAUGAUGAGUUUGUGUUGGGAUCUCCUAUGAAGAGAUAAGCGGUCAAGGCUAUAAGGAGUAAGAACGUUCAAGUGAAACACCCUGCCCCUCCUGGCUUGUUAGCAUCCUGCUGAGCCCAUUUGAAAUCAUCAGCCACAGGCACUUUGUAAUUAGAGGUUCUUCCCGUAAGCAUUAUAAAUGAGGAAAGUCAAAAGAGAAACUAAAGUUCAGUUAAUUGAUUUCAGCCAAGAGAACAGACUAAGUGAAUGGUACAGCCAGGAUUAGAACCUACUUUUCACCAGGUGACGCUAUCAUGAUAAAACCCAAAAAAGAUGGGAGAGUGUUUUAAGUUAAAAAAGACUAAAGAAUCUUAGUGAGUGAACCUGGAUGGAAUCUGGGUUUGAAAACAAACAAAAAUUAUAAAAGACUUUUUUGGAGAAAGUAGGAAAAGUUAAAUACGGACUGGAUAUUAGAUGAUACUAAGGGAAUUGCUCAUUUUCUUAGGAAUGAUAAAGAUAUUAUAACUGUAUGAAGAAUGGCCUCAUUUUUUGGGGGGUCACCUCAAUUUUUUAGACAUGCUCAAGAAGUUAGGAGCAGAGUGUUGGAAUGGUUGUCAAUUUACUUUCAAAUAAUUCAGCAAAAAAUACAUAUAUCUUACAUAGAGAUAACAUAGCUAAAGCAAAAAAUGGCAAAAUGAAUAAUUGUUGAAUGUAGGCGGUAUGAAUUUAGGAAUUCAUUUUUUUGUCAUUCAAAUUUAAUGUAAGUCUGAAAGUUUUCAUAACAGUUAUAAAAAAGAACGCACAUCUCUUUAGUUAAGUAGCCCUGGUUACAUCAAGUAUUUUCUUGGAUCCCUGGGACACUAAAGGGAAUGACAGUAGACUUCCUAAGAAAAUGAUAUCGAGAACCAUAGUGGGAGGAGAAAAGACCGUGGCCAAAAAUGAUUUGUUAAGGAGAGCUGAGAGUACAAAGCCUUACUUUUGGAGGUGGGAGAGGAGAAUCUUAAGUAAAGCUAACAAAAAUCCUUAACUCAUAGAUGCAUCUAAGGAAUUCCAUUCUGGAAAAAAAAAAUUAGAAUCUCAUUAGCGUCAAUGUAUUACUUACCUCUGAACUAUUUCCAAUGAGCUGUCCUCCUUGGGCCCUGAAGUCAUAGUACUCUUUAGAAUCAAACAAAAUUAUCUCCCAAGUGAAAGGACUAGGUGUGGGAAAGGGUUUCCCUCAGCUUCUCCCAGAGCACCUGCUUACUUUGUACCAUUUGUAUGUAUGUUGUGAGGUUCACACCACCUUCUAGUUAGCGUACGCCUGGGUCCUUUGACCCCAGGAUGAGCUCUGCCUCUUCACCUGAGUCAGGGUUUCCCGUGACUUCCCACUGGGAGUAAAUGGGUUCACAUGUGCCCUUCCCUCUAAAUGAUAAAACUGAACCUUUGUCUGGGAAGCUCAGGAAUUGAGUCCAGGCUUGUCCCCCAACACCAGAUUUGGUGACAUCAGUACAUAUAUGUAUGCGAUUUGCUAAAGCUCUAUUUAGACCACAAAGUAAAUAGCUCAUAACCAGGUUUCAACUUUUUCCUUUCUAG
This 18019-nucleotide long non-coding RNA is filed under the name Equus asinus (donkey). Its description in RNAcentral is "lncRNA (ENSEASG00005023729.1)". Lineage: Eukaryota; Metazoa; Chordata; Mammalia; Perissodactyla; Equidae. The record is from RNAcentral.